RNAcentral lists this long non-coding RNA (982 nucleotides) under Dromaius novaehollandiae (emu). RNAcentral's name for it is "lncRNA (ENSDNVG00000007761.1)". Lineage: Eukaryota; Metazoa; Chordata; Aves; Casuariiformes; Dromaiidae. The record is from RNAcentral.
ACAUAGAUCUCUAUAAUACUAAUAUAAUACAUCUUCCAAAGUUGAAAAUCUGCAAAAUAUACUUACGAAUGCUGCAGAAAUGACCAUAAAGCAACAGCUAGAGUCACAGUUUCUAACUAUAGAAAACCUAACCUCGCACCUCAUUAACUGUGGAGGGGAGCAGGGAGUUACUAGCAACUGUGUAUAGCAUAGGUAGGACGAAUGUACGUUUAAGCUGCAAGCCACAACACACCAAGACAUAACACACAUUCCACCCACUGUACCGCUGACAGAGUGGCAUUAAGAAGGGCUAUUUAAUGGAGUAUUUUCUCCUAUACAGCAUGUUGUUCAACUCCUUUCUUGUCAACUGAAAGCCAUCCACAAGCUAAAACAGCAGCCCCAGGCCACGGAGAGAGAGAUUGAGAGAGAGAGAUGUGCUUUCAGCACUUUGACUGGACAGAACUUCAAAUUUCUGCACACUUCUGCAACCUCACCAUUGCCCCAGAGCAGGUUUAGUUGGUUUUGCAGAACCUGGGAGUCAAUGUCACUUAUGCUUCUGUUCAGUGCAAGUCUUAAAUCAUCAGAUAUAUCUUGACAAGAGCUAAGAAACCAGCUUAUCAAUUUAGAAGAACCUGAGGCAAGUGACUGAAAAAGUUGUGCUGAAUCUCUAAAGCAGUACUUGGUUGAGAAUUUGGGUAGCGUUUGCCUGUCACUGUUCUUUUUUUACUUCCAGUAAGAAGGGGCUGGCUCCUGUGGCACAUAAAAAUACACAGCCAAACUGGUGAUGAGUUCUGUGUCUCUGAAGUACAAAAUGAAAUCUGAGAUAUUAGUGAGAUCCUCCAUGUCCCGAAGAUAUCAGUUUUUUCAUCAAACCAGGCCAAGAGAGAAAAAUCAUGUCAGAGCACGGAGAAGUGUAGGAGAUGGGCUAUCAGAAGAUGACCAACAGCAUCACUGUAAGCAGACCAGCCUUCUAGGCUUCUGGGCUGGUGUUACUGUUGCUUAG